This is a non-coding RNA of Charadrius vociferus (killdeer), 46 nucleotides long. The record is from Rfam. NCBI's taxonomy places the organism in Eukaryota, Metazoa, Chordata, Aves, Charadriiformes, Charadriidae.
ACCACGGAUUUUUUAAAAUCCAAAAUUAUUUGCCUAAAAAAAUUAU